AUUAUUAGGAACAGACAAAAAGUUCCCUGGGUUCAUAGUACAAUAUUAGGAAACAGGAAAGCAAAGAAACAACACAAAAAAUUACAAGGAUUCUAGCCAUUGGUUCUUGAGAGGGAGAUAGCCAUUGGUUCUUGAGAGGGAGAUAACUACCCUUCGUUCUAUGGACAGCCAAGGAAAAUUCUUGCUUGAAUUUAACUCUAUUUUAUGUCUUAGUCGGAUCUAUUGCAUUGAAAGUCCAGUAAUUUUGUACUCUCUACUCAAAAUUUUGAACUACGAGAUAUUAUUGUACCUUAGUAUAUUAUAUAUCACGUUCUACGUUUCCUUCAGUUGAUUGAAACAUGAUUAUUUUAGUUAAUUUUCACGUUGUCAUGAAUCUCAUUUAAAAGUUUUACAUCUUAUACCAGGUUUUUGAAACAUUUGUUGAAUCUACACUAUUGUACAACCAACAUUUGUCCUUGACUACCCAGUUGAGAUAUCACCAUUGGCAAAACCACAUCGGAGCAUCAUAGUACAGCUGUCACGUCCCUGAGGAUGUAGCUGUGGGAGCUCGCUGGCCACCGGUUUCCUGCCCGUGGUGGAUGGUGGCAAGGUAGAUAGCAGGGAGAUGAGAUAACAGAGAAAGGAGGUGAAAAUGGGAUUGGCUGUAAUUGUUGUUUAUUGCUGAACCAGACCUUCCUGAUUGAUCCCAAAUACCCCUCCUUUUGCCUAAUUAGCCCCUGUUACGAGCGCCUAUAAAUGUUUCCGACCGUAACAAUAGCUCAAGGUUACACCUGGAAACUGGGGAGAAAAGGAAGAUGUAAUUCAGUCUGAGUUUUAUAAUAUGUUAUUUAGGUGAUCAUUAAGAUAGAUGGAAA
Long non-coding RNA from Zea mays, 854 nucleotides. RefSeq lists it as uncharacterized. The record is from RefSeq and is a predicted model, not a curated record. Lineage: Eukaryota; Viridiplantae; Streptophyta; Magnoliopsida; Poales; Poaceae. The transcript has 2 exons.